GCAGUAGGAGUUCACUGGUAGAAUUCUCAACUUCCAUGCAGGAGACCUAGGUUCGAUUCCUAGCCAAUGCA
Molecule: transfer RNA, 71 nt
Filed under: Loxodonta africana (African savanna elephant)
Lineage: Eukaryota; Metazoa; Chordata; Mammalia; Proboscidea; Elephantidae
Rfam family: tRNA
About the family: Transfer RNA (tRNA) molecules are approximately 80 nucleotides in length.
Source: Rfam by way of RNAcentral